This 253-nucleotide ribosomal RNA is filed under the name uncultured bacterium. RNAcentral's name for it is "partial 16S ribosomal RNA". It matches the Rfam family "Bacterial small subunit ribosomal RNA", at positions 524 to 776 of the family's 1533-position model. The record is from RNAcentral.
UACGUAGGGUGCAAGCGUUAAUCGGAAUUACUGGGCGUAAAGCGUGCGCAGGUGGUGAUGUAAGACAGAUGUGAAAUCCCCGGGCUCAACCUGGGAACUGCAUUUGUGACUGCAUGGCUAGAGUGCGGCAGAGGGGGAUGGAAUUCCGCGUGUAGCAGUGAAAUGCGUAGAUAUGCGGAGGAACACCGAUGGCGAAGGCAAUCCCCUGGGCCUGCACUGACGCUCAUGCACGAAAGCGUGGGGAGCAAACAGG